UGAAAUCAUCAUAUUUUAGCUAAGUACCUAAUUUCUCUUUGACCAAGUACUUUCAUUUUUUUAUUGAUCUGAUGUAUCAAACAUAUAGCCAUAUCGAUAUAUGAUAUCAUCAGUAUAUACAAGAUAUUCACCAUUCCCAAAAAUUUUUAGAAGCUCGCACACUUAUUGGAUCUCAAUCGCGUUCAAUAUAUUCCCAAAAAUUUUCUAUUCGCUAAAAAUUCUAUAAUUAUUGGAUCCGAAUCGUGUUCCUACAGUUUUUGGAUCCGAAUCGAGCUCCUGCAGUUUUUGGAUCUUAAUCGAACUACUACCGUUUCUGGAUCUAAAUCGUACUCGAACGUUUUCCACAAGUUUUUGCAGCGGUUUACCGUCAUAAAAACCGCACCGCUGCCGUAAUUACCUCUGUUCGCACCAUCACUGCUGAGUCGGUACUUCUUCAUUUUCCUCCAUUUUUUUUGCUUAUUUAUGUGUAUAUAUACACUAUAUAUGUAUAUAAUCUGAAUUAUGUUUGGUUAUCGAGCAUUGGAAGUUUGCUGUGAAAUUGUGUUUGUAAUAAAGUUAUUUGAAUAUCCUGUUAAAUUGUAGUUUUAAUCGAUUAAUUUCGUGAUAGGAAUAUAUUAUAUGAUGAUUUUCAACGCUUGAGUGUAGAACUUAUGCCUUGUAUGUGGAAAAAUAAGCUGAAGUUACCUUGUUGAUUCAUUUUUGGAAGUGUAAUUUUGUGUAA
Molecule: long non-coding RNA, 721 nt
Organism: Erigeron canadensis
Lineage: Eukaryota; Viridiplantae; Streptophyta; Magnoliopsida; Asterales; Asteraceae
Exons: 2
Source: RefSeq, a predicted model, not a curated record